UACGUAGGGUGCGAGCGUUAGUCGGCAUUACUGGGCGUAAAGCGUGCGCAGGCGGAUUGUUAAGCAAGACGUGAAAUCCCCGGGCUUAGCCUGGGAAUGGCGUUUUGAACUGGCAGUCUAGAGUGUGUCAGAGGGGGGUGGAAUUCCACGUGUAGCAGUGAAAUGCGUAGAGAUGUGGAGGAACACCGAUGGCGAAGGCAGCCCCCUGGGAUAACACUGACGCUCAUGUACGAAAGCGUGGGUAGCAAACAGG
This 253-nucleotide ribosomal RNA is filed under the name uncultured bacterium. Its description in RNAcentral is "partial 16S ribosomal RNA". It matches the Rfam family "Bacterial small subunit ribosomal RNA", at positions 524 to 776 of the family's 1533-position model. The record is from RNAcentral.